CCUGGGACUAUGUCUGGGCAGGUUACAGUCAGAGAAAACUCUGGUGGAGCUCCAUAGAAGCAAAUUGGUCAUCCGACCUGGGUAUGGGGCCAAAGACUAAUCAAACCAUCUAGUAGCUGG
Molecule: non-coding RNA, 120 nt
Filed under: Mus musculus (house mouse)
Lineage: Eukaryota; Metazoa; Chordata; Mammalia; Rodentia; Muridae
Description: Eukaryotic large subunit ribosomal RNA
Rfam family: Eukaryotic large subunit ribosomal RNA
Source: Rfam by way of RNAcentral